RNAcentral lists this non-coding RNA (148 nucleotides) under Nomascus leucogenys (northern white-cheeked gibbon). The record is from Rfam by way of RNAcentral. Lineage: Eukaryota; Metazoa; Chordata; Mammalia; Primates; Hylobatidae.
GCUGGGUGUGGUGGCACACGCCUGUAAUCCCAGCUACUUGGGAAGCUGAGGCAGGAGAAUCACUUGAACCCAGGAGGUGGAGAUUGCAGUGAGCCGAGAUCACGACACUCUACUCCAGCCUGGGCGACAGAGUGAGACUCUGUCUCUC